AUUGUUGAUGCAUUUUGAACCUUGAUUGUGUAUAAGUUGGCCAUUUAAAGAGGUUUAUAAUUGGAAUGGGAAUUUUAUAUCUAUAUAUGAUCAACGGUUUAGGUGCCUGCUACUAUAUAAUUAUUUCUGAGUUUUUUUUUUUUUUUUUUUUUGUAUUAACUCAUUGCUUAUAUGUUGCUGCUUGUUAGCAUAUCAAGAAUACUAACUAAUUGAAACAUUGGUUAUACAAUAUAAGUCAAAACUCUCAUGAUGACAAAUAUAUAAACCAUUAAAUUUUGUUUGAUAGGUACAGAGUACUUGGUCAUUAGUUGAUUAAAUUGCAUAAAGGUGUCGAGCAGCUUCUCAUUAACCUAGCUAGUGUCUAAAAAGCUUAUGAAACACUAGUAGAAAAAAUGAAAUAGGCACCGCACAAUCCGCACCGAUUUUUGAAAACCGGUGCGAAAAAAAUAGGCGGGAUUGGGAAAUAGAGUUUUCGCACCGGUUCUAACCAAACCGAUGCGAAAAGUUUGUUUUUCCCACCGGUUUAAACCGAACCGGUGCUAAAACUCUUUCUAAAUAAUAAUAAAAAAAAACCGGUCUCUUUCUUUCCCUUUCAUUUCCUCAUCUAGCCUCUCUUUCUCAUCUAGCCUCUCUCUCCUCAAAAACUCACCAUCACUAAAACACUAACCCACCCACAAAAUUCAACGGCUCCACAGAAGCAGUCUCAAAGGGUUUGGUUUGUGGAGGCGUAGAGCGUACUCGAAAUUCUCCAUUGAAGCGGCUUCUGAGUUCUGACUUUCUGAGCUUUCUCUCCUCGACUCCUCCAUUGAAGGCUUUGAAGGCUUGAAGUAGUCUCUAAGAAAAAUUAUGUGAAGAGAAACAACUACUGUCCACAGUUUAAAAUACUGAAGAUUGAAACAUGACUGUCUGACCUUACAACUUACAGGGUAUGAAUUGCUAUCCUAGAAGCAUCAAUUUCUUUAAAAUCUUGUCUACCUAUCACUGGUCAAAGUUUUGAUAUUCAAUUUUGCUCGAAAUUUGUGUUCUACUGCUGUUAAGCUAAGGAAGUCCUUUAUGGUAGUUGAAUUCGUUGGAAUUGAUGUUAGUUUGUCUAAUUGUUUUCAAAUGAUAUGAUUUUAUGCCUAAUUUUGCUGUUUUAUUUUUAUUUUUAUUUUUAUUUUAUUGAAUUGUGUAUAUGUGCCUAACUUACCCUGUUUCACGCUGGGAUUACAAAUUUUUCUAGAGAAUUUUCAUUAAUUUAGGAUACAACUGCAAUUUUGUUACAAUAUGUACCAGGAAUUAUAGUUUGUCAAAGAUUUGUCAAAGAUUUGUCAUUCCGCAAUCAAGUGCAUGGUUCUGUAAUUUGUUGACUGAUCAUAGAAUCAGAGGCAUGACUCCAAGUAGGGGCUUUUAAAGGUGACAAUGGGGUCAUUUUGUUAUGUUUUGGGUCUGGUGACUUUAGUUUCAGGUAGAAUCAAUCCCAACCUUAGUUUCAGGUAGGAUAAAUUUGGUACGAAUCAUCUAAUUUUGGCUAUGAUUUAGAUAUCAGUCAUCAAAAUUGAAUUUUUUUUCUUCCCGUAAUUAUAUACAUCAUCUCUUCUUUUCAACUCAAUAUAUGAUCUAGU
This is a long non-coding RNA of Chenopodium quinoa (quinoa), 1604 nucleotides long. RefSeq lists it as uncharacterized. The record is from RefSeq and is a predicted model, not a curated record. NCBI's taxonomy places the organism in Eukaryota, Viridiplantae, Streptophyta, Magnoliopsida, Caryophyllales, Amaranthaceae. The transcript is spliced from 3 exons.